This 765-nucleotide ribosomal RNA is filed under the name uncultured Treponema sp. RNAcentral describes it as "bacterial SSU rRNA". It matches the Rfam family "Bacterial small subunit ribosomal RNA", at positions 28 to 776 of the family's 1533-position model. Lineage: Bacteria; Pseudomonadati; Spirochaetota; Spirochaetia; Treponematales; Treponemataceae. The record is from RNAcentral.
AACGAACGCUGGCGGCGCGUCUUAAGCAUGCAAGUCGAACGGCAAGAGAGGAGCUUGCUUCUCUCCUAGAGUGGCGGACUGGUGAGGAACACGUGGGUAAUCUACCCUUAAGAUGGGGAUAGCUGCUAGAAAUAGCAGAUAAUACCGAAUACACUCGGCAUUUCACAAGAGGUGUUGAGGAAAGGAAGCUACGGCUUCGCUUGAGGAUGAGCUUGCGUCCCAUUAGCUAGUUGGUGAGGUAAAGGCCCACCAAGGCGACGAUGGGUAUCCGGCCUGAGAGGGUGAACGGACACAUUGGGACUGAGAUACGGCCCAAACUCCUACGGGAGGCAGCAGCUAAGAAUAUUCCGCAAUGGACGGAAGUCUGACGGAGCGACGCCGCGUGGAUGAAGAAGGCUGAAAAGUUGUAAAAUCCUUUUGUUGAUGAAGAAUAAGGGGAAGAGGGAAUGCUUCUCUGAUGACGGUAAUCGGCGAAUAAGCCCCGGCUAAUUACGUGCCAGCAGCCGCGGUAACACGUAAGGGGCGAGCGUUGUUCGGAAUUAUUGGGCGUAAAGGGCAUGUAGGCGGUUAUGUAAGCCUGAUGUGAAAUCCUGGGGCUUAACCCUAGAAUAGCAUUGGGUACUGUGUAACUUGAAUUACGGAAGGGAAACUGGAAUUCCAAGUGUAGGGGUGGAAUCUGUAGAUAUUUGGAAGAACACCGGUGGCGAAGGCGGGUUUCUGGCCGAUAAUUGACGCUGAGAUGCGAAAGUGUGGGGAUCGAACAGG